GGAGGUAUAGCUCAAGUGGCUUAGCAUGCACAAGGUCCUGGGUUCAAUCCCCAGUACCUCCU
RNAcentral lists this transfer RNA (62 nucleotides) under Camelus bactrianus (Bactrian camel). It matches the Rfam family "tRNA". From Rfam's summary of the family: Transfer RNA (tRNA) molecules are approximately 80 nucleotides in length. Their secondary structure includes four short double-helical elements and three loops (D, anti-codon, and T loops). Lineage: Eukaryota; Metazoa; Chordata; Mammalia; Artiodactyla; Camelidae. RNAcentral also lists the same sequence under 1 other name. The record is from Rfam by way of RNAcentral.